Long non-coding RNA from Cotesia glomerata, 243 nucleotides. RefSeq lists it as uncharacterized. The record is from RefSeq and is a predicted model, not a curated record. NCBI's taxonomy places the organism in Eukaryota, Metazoa, Arthropoda, Insecta, Hymenoptera, Braconidae. The transcript is spliced from 2 exons.
AAAUGAGUCAAUGAUAAAAUUUUCAAGGUUAUAAAAAACUCGAAGAUUUUUUUCAUAUAAAAGUACAAUAAGAGAAAUUAAAAAAAUGUUAUUUAAAGGAAAAACUAAACUGUUGUUAUGACUGUUAUUUUAAUUUUAUGUAUGUGGGUGAUGGAAAUAUAUGAUAAUAAUCAACAGUAACAUCACUAAAGGAAGAAAAUAUAAUAAGUGGAUCAAAAAUGUAAAAACAGAAGGAUAAUUAUA